RNAcentral lists this ribosomal RNA (419 nucleotides) under uncultured Bacteroidota bacterium. Its description in RNAcentral is "bacterial SSU rRNA". It matches the Rfam family "Bacterial small subunit ribosomal RNA", at positions 1 to 410 of the family's 1533-position model. The record is from RNAcentral. Lineage: Bacteria; Pseudomonadati; Bacteroidota.
GGAUCCAGACUUUGAUUCUGGCUCAGGAUGAACGCUAGCUACAGGCUUAACACAUGCAAGUCGAGGGGAAACGACAUCGAAAGCUUGCUUUUGAUGGGCGUCGACCGGCGCACGGGUGAGUAACGCGUAUCCAACCUGCCCAUCACUUGGGGAUAACCUUGCGAAAGUAAGACUAAUACCCAAUGACGUCUCUAGAAGACAUCUUAAAGAGAUUAAAGAUUUAUCGGUGAUGGAUGGGGAUGCGUCUGAUUAGCUUGUUGGCGGGGUAACGGCCCACCAAGGCGACGAUCAGUAGGGGUUCUGAGAGGAAGGUCCCCCACAUUGGAACUGAGACACGGUCCAAACUCCUACGGGAGGCAGCAGUGAGGAAUAUUGGUCAAUGGGCGAGAGCCUGAACCAGCCAAGUAGCGUGCAGGAUG